Molecule: non-coding RNA, 73 nt
Organism: Parelaphostrongylus tenuis
Lineage: Eukaryota; Metazoa; Nematoda; Chromadorea; Rhabditida; Metastrongylidae
Source: the annotation of a GenBank genome assembly
GUGUUUGUAGUGCAGCGGUUCAGCACGUACUCCCGAAAAGAGUGAGAUCUGGGUUUGAAUUCCAGCCGACGCA